AGUGAACGCUGGCGGUAGGCCUAACACAUGCAAGUCGAACGGCAGCACAGUAAGAGCUUGCUCUUACGGGUGGCGAGUGGCGGACGGGUGAGGAAUACAUCGGAAUCUACUUUUUCGUGGGGGAUAACGUAGGGAAACUUACGCUAAUACCGCAUACGACCUACGGGUGAAAGCAGGGGAUCUUCGGACCUUGCGCGAUUGAAUGAGCCGAUGUCGGAUUAGCUAGUUGGCGGGGUAAAGGCCCACCAAGGCGACGAUCCGUAGCUGGUCUGAGAGGAUGAUCAGCCACACUGGAACUGAGGCACGGUCCAGACCCCUACGGGAGGCCGCAGUGGGGGAUAUUGGACCAUGGGCGCAAGCCUGAUCCAGCCCUACCGCGUGGGUGAAGGAGGCCUUCGGGUUGUAAAGCCCUUUUGUUGGGAAAGAAAAGCAGCAGGUUAAUACCCCGCUGUUCUGACGGUACCCAAAGAAUAAGCACCGGCUAACUUCGUG
This 492-nucleotide ribosomal RNA is filed under the name uncultured bacterium. RNAcentral's name for it is "partial 16S ribosomal RNA". It matches the Rfam family "Bacterial small subunit ribosomal RNA", at positions 29 to 507 of the family's 1533-position model. The record is from RNAcentral.